Molecule: long non-coding RNA, 3131 nt
Organism: Salvia splendens (bonfire salvia)
Lineage: Eukaryota; Viridiplantae; Streptophyta; Magnoliopsida; Lamiales; Lamiaceae
Exons: 3
Source: RefSeq, a predicted model, not a curated record
CAGCCGUGAUGCUGCCGUCGGGGUGGAAGUACCGCCGCAUUGGGGGGCCGCCCUCGCCCCUCCAGGACGGAUCCAGCUCCCGCCAGUACUCCGGCGCCAUCUGCAGGGGGGGAGGGGAAGAAGAAGCUAAUUAUCCGCCUUACAACUUGCUUGAGGUGCCCCCCUGGAAUGUUUGGCACCAAUUCCAUGAAAGUAGCACCUCCUAAACAUUGUUGUAAACGCAUUCAGACACUAUAGACAACACAUUUCACAUGUAGAUGCAAUAGAUGGUGUUACAAGAAACAGCUGUGCUGGUAUGCAGUAUGGUCACUCACAUUUGAGCUAUAGUAGAUUGCGACGGUGUUCAACAGGAAGUGGCAGUUUUGAGCCAGAGGGAUAACAAAUAUCUCUCACUGUAUCUCAUUUUUUGAAUAGAUGCAGUGACAGAUAUCUGUAUUUAGGCAUCACACUACAAACUUUAGAACACAGAGAGAAGAGACGAGUUUGAUAAGAGGAAAGGCAGAUGAGAUGGAUACUGGCUGCAGAGAAGCGAGAACAAACCACAGCACAAAAGUAGAUGAGCUGGACUAUACUCCUAUGAAACUAAGAAAACUAAAUGUAAAAUGCAGAAACUAAUCCUUCAGAGAGGCCUCGGUUUCUGCUGUCCCAAAACUAAAUUUCUCCCCGGCACAGCUCUUCCACUGAGGAGCUAUUUAUAACAUCACAUAAAGACUCCUUACCAUCAACAACUUGAAAGUAAAUCUAAACAUAGAGGACUAAUGACACAAGACUCUUUAAACAUAUCAGCAUGGAUGAUCCCUAUCAAUUGCCAUGUUGUUGAAUCAUCCUUGUUCUCAAGACUGAUGUGGAAUCGUUAAAGCCACCAAAAGCUUGUUACUCGGGCUGGUCUGGUGCAGCGUCUUGAUAUAGCCCAUCAUCAUCAGCAAUAACUAAUCCUCCACAGAGGCCUACGGUUUUCACUGUCCUAAAACUAUUUUUCUCCCCGGUGCAUAACUAUUCUGAUGAGGAGCUAUUUAUAACAAUUAAAUAAAGACUCCCACUUCUUAUCAACAACUUGAAAGUAAUCCAAACCUAGAAGACUAAUGAAUUAAUACUCAAUAAAAUAAUAACUAAGGAUAGUAAUCAAAGGUUAACUACUACUACUUCCACAAAAAUCGGCAGGGAAGAUCCCUAUCAGAGUUCCGUGUGCUCUUCAUUUUGACUGCUGGAGAAGUUCAUGCUAAUUAUAAAGUAAAGAAUACUUAAAUUUUUUAAAAACACAACUAUUAAUUAAAAAUAUAAAAGGGCAUUCUUCUCCUUUUUAUUUUUUAAUUUAAAUGCAUUUAAAUUACUAAUUUGGUCAAAAUGUUGCCGGCCGCUAACUUUUUUGACGGAAACGUUAAAUAUGGACCAAAAAUACGGUUAAGGACUAGAAGCUAUCACACUUAAAAAUGUAGGACCUAAAAGUUUUUUUAGGAAAAUGUAGAAGACCAAUUUUUUUAGGUAAUGGCACGGGAUUUUAGGAAAUGUUGUUUUGUGUGUUGAGUAGUGAGAGAAAAUAUUAUAUUUAUAUUAAUGUGUGAGAGAACUUUUUCUAAAAAAGGAAUGUGACAUCUUCUGUGGGACAAACAAAAAAAGAAAGUGUGACAUCUAUUAUGGGACGUAAGGAGUAUAAUAUUUGUAACAUGUAAGAUCAACAUCUUUAAAUGUCUCAGAAACAAUCCAACGGAAAUUCUCCCUCUGUCCUAUUAAAAAUGAAAUGUUUUUCUUUUUGGGCGGCCCAAUUAAAAAUGAAAUGUUUCCUUAAAUAAAAACAACAUAUUUCUUUGUAUGUUUACAUAGUGAUAACUUAGAUAAAUAAAGUUAAUAUACGAUUAUCUUAUCCAUCACAUAUGUUGGCAUAUUGAAUAAGUGACAGAGUAAUAGUCCUCAAAAACAUAUAUUCCCAAUACAAUAUAUGAUCUAGAGCAAAUGCCCAAUAUAGUAAUAUCUUUUACUUUUUCCACUCAAUAACACUAUUUAAGGCAAACACGCUAAAAAACUUAUUUUUAAGGACACCAAAAUUGAGACGCAAUUACUUGUGUUGGAAAAUUUUUAAAAAUAACACAAUUUAGGACGCCAAAGAAAGCGUUCCUAAAUCAAGGACAAAUUAACUUAUUUUUUUUGCUUUUUAGGACGCUUCCAUUGCGAUCUCUAAUUUUAGUUAAGACACUAACAAUAAGAAUGUUUUUUGAAGCGUUGGCGGUAUAUUUAGAAACAUUUAGCGUCCUUAAUUGCAUUAAAAAAUGUCCUUAACGGUUGUUUUUGUUGUAGUGACAUUAGGCCCUUCAGAUAUGUUAUGUGAGUUUACAAAUAAUUUCCGAAUCAUACUUGGUCACUAAAAGGAAUUUACUCAUUCAACUCGCAACACGAAUCCCGAGUUUCAAUGCUCUAAUAUAUUAAGGUUUAGGUUCAGAUUUCAAAAGGUUGAUAAUUUUAUUUCAAUACAAUAUUAUACUCCUAGUUAUAUGUCAUAAAAUAGUUUAGUGCACAAAAGUUAACUAGUUAAAACCUACACAAUUUCAUGUUUAGCAAUAAAAUCCAUCAUUAAGUAUACCCAAUUAGUGAGUUAUUUCAAAGGGAUUAUUUCUAAACCUUCCUUUUAUUAUUGAUUUUAUCAAUUUUUUCAAUGUGAUAGUCAAAACCUUCAAUUUGAGAACAGUCUUAGUAUUAUAGGACCCCUUUUUGGGGAUAGGAAGGGGAAAAAGAGGGGAUAGAGUAUUCUAAAUGAAAGUAACCCCCCUAACUGAUUAUGAAACAUUUAUAUUUAUAUAGUAUCUGUUUUAAGCUUUAAUAAAUAUAGUUAUAACCAAAUUUAAAAAUUCCCACUGCAAAAUUUAGAUACUUAAAUAUUCUAAGGCUUAACUAAGCUUGGAAAAGGUAAUUUAUAACCUUAAAGAACUACUGUAUUUAUUUAUCAAAACUAAUAAUUAUUAGGAAAUCUUAUAUCCUUUAAUUGAUUACCCUCAAAAUCCCAUUCAAAGUGAAUCAUUUCUUUUUUGGCACAUGAGAGAAAACAGGUAUGAUAAUAGAAAGAUUUCUCUUUAUGACUUAUACUAACCUAUCCCGACACAGGAAAGUGACCUAUCCCGGCACAUGAAACUGACCAACCG